Molecule: long non-coding RNA, 621 nt
Organism: Raphanus sativus (radish)
Lineage: Eukaryota; Viridiplantae; Streptophyta; Magnoliopsida; Brassicales; Brassicaceae
Exons: 3
Source: RefSeq, a predicted model, not a curated record
CUAUAUAUUAAUUUUCUCUUCAUACGGAAUCUAGAAUUGAACUCCUUCAAAAGUUUGACCGAACUGCCAAUCCUUAGGAACAACAUCGUAGCUCACAACACUCCGACCAUCGCUCGUAGUGACUUGAAAAGAAAGGCUUUGACCUCUGAGAGCUACAGCCAUAACAUCUCCAGCACCACCCACGUUUGUGAUCAGCACAAGAUCAAGCUCGGUACUGAGCGAUCUGGAGAAAGGCAGGCUGGGCCAAGUCAAAGUGCUGAAGGGGAGGAUUGCACCAACCACCAUUAUCGUUGGCUAAGGCAUAGUUUGGUGGACAAAAGUUUGUAGCCGAGACGAUGAGGGAACCACCGAGGCACCACUGAGGAUCAUCCACACAACGUAGCUCAAAACAGGCACCGCAACUCUGACCGCUUCUGGAAAAUACGUCAAAUGGACCCCUUCGUUUCGAUCUACAGUUGGGCAUCACUUUAUUUAUCAUGAAUUAUCGUAUCAGUCUUACGAAAUUGCUUUUAAGCUCUAAGUUAGAGCAAUUACGAACAAAAGAAUGAAGUUUGUUUACUUUUUUUUGGUAAAUGUAGAAAUGAAAUGAAGCUUGUUGCAUCCUUGAAUCAAUCAUAUAGA